Molecule: ribosomal RNA, 403 nt
Filed under: uncultured bacterium
Lineage: Bacteria
Description: bacterial SSU rRNA
Rfam family: Bacterial small subunit ribosomal RNA
Source: RNAcentral
GGGGAAUUUUGUGCAAUGGGCGAAAGCCUGACACAGCGACACCGCGUGGAUGAAGAAGCCCCUUGGGGUGUAAAAUCCUGUCGGCUGGAACGAAAAAAAUGACGGUACCAGCAGAGGAAGCAUCGGCUAACUACGUGCCAGCAGCCGCGGUAAGACGUAGGAUGCGAGCGUUGUCCGGAUUUAUUGGGCGUAAAGAGUUCGUAGGCGGUUUGUUAAGUCUGAUGUUAAAGAUCAGGGCUCAACCCUGAGAGUGCAUUGGAUACUGGCAGACUGGAGUGUGGUAGAGGCUAGUGGAAUUCCUAGUGUAGCGGUGAAAUGCGUAGAUAUUAGGAAGAACACCAGUGGCGUAGGCGACUAGCUGGGCCAUAACUGACGCUGAGGAACGAAAGCCAGGGGAGCGAAU